RNAcentral lists this ribosomal RNA (903 nucleotides) under uncultured Tulasnellaceae. RNAcentral's name for it is "eukaryotic LSU rRNA". The stretch from base 330 to 903 matches the Rfam family "Eukaryotic large subunit ribosomal RNA", at positions 1 to 508 of the family's 3401-position model. The record is from RNAcentral. Lineage: Eukaryota; Fungi; Basidiomycota; Agaricomycetes; Cantharellales; Tulasnellaceae.
UUGCAAAUUGCGAUAAGUGGUGUGAUAUGCGAGUCCAAAACUUAUACGUGAACCAUCGAAUUGUUGAACGCAUUGCAUCGAGCUUUGCAAAAGCACGAUAUGCCCCAUUGAGUGUCAUUAAGUCUUUGGAUACCCAUCCAAGCUCGGGAUUCAUGGCCCCUUAUGCCACGCUUCCUUGGAACCAUUUUAGCACCUGGCAGAAAGCAUCGUGCUCCUUGUUGUGAACUUCAAGGCACGUCGCGCUUUGGGAGGUGCAAGACCUGGCGCUUCAAACGGGGACCGGUCAAACCUGCAGACACGUCCCUUGUGGCGACCUGCACAUUCAGGCAUGACCUCACGGGGGUAAGACGACCCGCUAGACUUAAGCAUAUUAAUCAGCGGAGGAAAAGAAACUAACAAGGAUUCCCCUAGUAACUGCGAGUGAAGAGGGAAGAGCUCAACGUGUGAAUCUGAUGGGGAUUAAAACCUCGUUCGAGUUGUGCACUAUUGAGUCUGGAUCAGCGUACGGAAGCUUUCGGCGGAUGUCCAAUGAAACAUGGCACCACAGUGGGUCACAGUCCUGUACACGCCUAUAGAGCAUCUACGCCUAUGACCACCGCUCAUCGAGUCGCGUAGUUUUGUAUUGCUGCGCUAAUUGGGAGGUAGAGCCCUUCUAAAGCUAAAUAUUAUGGCAUGACCGAUAGCAAACAAGUACCGUGAGGGAAAGGUGAAAAGCAACCAUGCAGAAUGGGUUGAAACAGUAGUGAAAGUGCUACCGGGAUAAGGGCUAUUGAUUGCAAGUGCGGAUCGCAUGUGCUUUAGUGCUAUGCUUACUGCCGGCGUGCAUCGAUUAAGGACCGGGGAGAACAGGGCUUUGGAGAUUCGGCUCGGCCUCGAGUGUUGCAAUCCAGAUGCCAGCUGAGC